GAUUUCUGGCCUGAAACAAUUUGCCGGCCACGGUUUCGUGUGUCAGUGCGUUUUGUUCUAGCCAUCCUUCCAAUCGCUAUUGUCGUCUCUUCAUUGAGAAGGCAGUGGUAUUGGAUCUUUUACUUUGAAAAAAUUAGAGUGUUUCAAGCAGGCUUUAUGCUGUGAAUACAUUAGCAUGGAAUAAUAAUUUAGGACUUCGGUUCUAUUUUGUUGGUUUCUAGGACUGAAGUAAUGAUUGAUAGGGAUAGUUGGGGGUGCUAGUAUUCAGCGGCCAGAGGUGAAAUUCUCGGAUUCGCUGAAGACUAACUUAUGCGAAAGCAUU
Molecule: ribosomal RNA, 322 nt
Filed under: uncultured Sandonidae
Lineage: Eukaryota; Cercozoa; Glissomonadida; Viridiraptoridae
Description: SSU rRNA
Rfam family: Eukaryotic small subunit ribosomal RNA (bases 112-322)
Source: RNAcentral